GGAGGGGUGGUAGAGUGGUCGAUUGCGCCAGUCUUGAAAACUGGAGAGCCGAAAGGUUCCGUGGGUUCGAAUCCCACCCCCUCCGCCA
RNAcentral lists this transfer RNA (88 nucleotides) under Luteolibacter algae. RNAcentral describes it as "tRNA-Ser". It matches the Rfam family "tRNA". From Rfam's summary of the family: Transfer RNA (tRNA) molecules are approximately 80 nucleotides in length. Their secondary structure includes four short double-helical elements and three loops (D, anti-codon, and T loops). Further hydrogen bonds mediate the characteristic L-shaped molecular structure. tRNAs have two regions of fundamental functional importance: the anti-codon, which is responsible for specific mRNA codon recognition, and the 3' end, to which the tRNAs corresponding amino acid is attached (by aminoacyl-tRNA synthetases). tRNAs cope with the degeneracy of the genetic code in two manners: having more than one tRNA (with a specific anti-codon) for a particular amino acid; and 'wobble' base-pairing, i.e. permitting non-standard base-pairing at the 3rd anti-codon position. RNAcentral also lists the same sequence under 5 other names. Lineage: Bacteria; Pseudomonadati; Verrucomicrobiota; Verrucomicrobiia; Verrucomicrobiales; Verrucomicrobiaceae. The record is from RNAcentral.